AUUGAACGCUGGCGGCAGGCCUAACACAUGCAAGUCGAGCGGAUGAAGGGAGCUUGCUCCUGGAUUCAGCGGCGGACGGGUGAGUAAUGCCUAGGAAUCUGCCUGGUAGUGGGGGAUAACGUCCGGAAACGGGCGCUAAUACCGCAUACGUCCUGAGGGAGAAAGUGGGGGAUCUUCGGACCUCACGCUAUCAGAUGAGCCUAGGUCGGAUUAGCUAGUUGGUGGGGUAAAGGCCUACCAAGGCGACGAUCCGUAACUGGUCUGAGAGGAUGAUCAGUCAAACUGGAACUGAGAAACGGUCCAAACUCCUACGGAAGCAGCAGUGGGGAAUAUUGGACAAUGGGCGAAAGCCUGAUCCAGCCAUGCCGCGUGUGUGAAGAAGGUCUUCGGAUUGUAAAGCACUUUAAGUUGGGAGGAAGGGCAGUAAGUUAAUACCUUGCUGUUUUGACGUUACCAACAGAAUAAGCACCGGCUAACUUCGUG
RNAcentral lists this ribosomal RNA (483 nucleotides) under uncultured bacterium. RNAcentral describes it as "partial 16S ribosomal RNA". It matches the Rfam family "Bacterial small subunit ribosomal RNA", at positions 30 to 507 of the family's 1533-position model. The record is from RNAcentral.